Paramormyrops kingsleyae is the source of this 426-nucleotide long non-coding RNA. RefSeq lists it as uncharacterized. The record is from RefSeq and is a predicted model, not a curated record. NCBI's taxonomy places the organism in Eukaryota, Metazoa, Chordata, Actinopteri, Osteoglossiformes, Mormyridae.
GUCUUGGAUAUUUUUUUGCUAUGUAACACAUCCAAUUUUUCUAAAUGUUAUUAGCUUCAGGGUCCUGGAAAAUUGACUGAAGCUGAGCAGAGACAGGUGCAAGAAGUGAGUAUAAGCUGGGACCUUCCCCCGGUUACUGAAGACAACAGGAAAUGGCUGGCACAGUCAAUACUACAACAUGCAGUCCUUGGUCGGAGAGAAAAGCACGUGCAGCAGAUCAAGAAAGAUACGGGGGUUCUCUCAAUGAUUAAAGAACGACCAGGUCUCAUAGAAUAGCUGUUUCCAAGAACUGCUGCACAAGCUAUAGAGCCAGAGGUGAUCCUGGAGAAAAUAAUUUGGCCAGCACCAGACAGCGAUGACGAGGACAUUGACUGCAAUCUGGAGGAUGUGUGCAAAGUGACCGACUUACACUGCCCAAACACUGAU